AUAGCGUAUAUUAAAGUUGUUGCAGUUAAAAAGCUCGUAGUUGAAUUUCGGGGUUAGUAGGUUGGUCAUGCCUCUGGUAUGUACUGGUCUCACUGAUUCCUCCUUCCUGAUGAACCUUAAUGCCAUUAAUUUGGUGUUUUGGGGAAUUUGGACUGUUACUUUGAAAAAAUUAGAGUGUUUAAAGCAAGCUAACGCUUGAAUACAUUAGCAUGGAAUAAUAAAAUAGGACGUGCGGUUCUAUUUUGUUGGUUUCUAGAGUCGCCGUAAUGAUUAAUAGGGAUAGUUGGGGGCAUUGGUAUUGAGUCGCUAGAGGUGAAAUUCUUGGAUUGACUCAAGACCAACUAUUG
This 347-nucleotide ribosomal RNA is filed under the name uncultured eukaryote. RNAcentral describes it as "bacterial SSU rRNA". It matches the Rfam family "Eukaryotic small subunit ribosomal RNA", at positions 594 to 945 of the family's 1831-position model. The record is from RNAcentral.